RNAcentral lists this ribosomal RNA (269 nucleotides) under uncultured bacterium. Its description in RNAcentral is "partial 16S ribosomal RNA". It matches the Rfam family "Bacterial small subunit ribosomal RNA", at positions 523 to 776 of the family's 1533-position model. The record is from RNAcentral.
UGACGUAGGGUGCAAGCGGUUGUCCGGAAGUCAACUGGGCGUAAAGGGCGGCGUAGGCGGCCCGUGGACAGUCGGUGGUGAAAGCCCGUGGCUCAACUCUGCGGGUCGGCCAGCCGGAUACUCCGAGGGCUCGAGUUUGGUAGAGGCAGAUGGAAUUCCGGGUGUAGCGGUGGAAUGCGUAGAGAGUCCGGAAGAACACCCGUGGCCGAAGGCGGGUCUCUGGGCCGAUACUGACGCUGAGGAGCGGAAAGCGUGGGGGAGCAAACAGG